Molecule: long non-coding RNA, 2034 nt
Organism: Poecilia reticulata (guppy)
Lineage: Eukaryota; Metazoa; Chordata; Actinopteri; Cyprinodontiformes; Poeciliidae
Source: RefSeq, a predicted model, not a curated record
CUCUGGUUGUGCUGCUCCUGUGUAACUCUGUUCACCAGCAUCCUACCAAGAUGACACAAUUCUGGGGAGACUUACUUCCAUCUGGUCUUAUAGGAACUUUCUAUUGCAAGUAUUCGUUCCCAGCUGCUGUAUUCAUUCAUUGAAGUUCAUUACCAGAUWAUAAGAUACAAAGUCCAUCAGUAUCUGUUAGUAGUUUGGUGUUUUCUAAAGUCGGUUCAUCUCCAGUGUUUGGUGUUUGUUCAAUCCUGACCUCUGAUCACAGCAGUCCAGGAAACCAGCUUCACAUCAGGACAGUAAACAUUCUGAUAGAUUUUUGCUGAUCUGAUUUGUUUGCCWCAGUGAAAGUUAUGCUUUGACAUACAGUUGACUAUUUCUUCACUUCUUUUUCCAGAGAAAUGUUCAGUAAUAAUUAACUGAUCUUGGUCCYUGACUCUUCAUUCUCUGGGYGAUUUGAUUCCUGASAACAUGGAGGUGAGGUGUCUUGAAUUUGCUCUUCUGCUUUGGGUUCCUGGACUGCUGCAUGGUAAGUAAUGAACAUCUGAUAUGGRAUAUUUYUGAAGUUGUGUCUGAUUUUUGUCUGUUGUGGACRAUCAGCUCAAKKUCCACAGCCUUGCAGCGCUCCGAGCCUGGAUGCAGGUUCUUUACAUCCGGUGCAGGAAUCAUAUYSUCAUGGAACAAAGAUCAGUUAUUCCUGCAAUGAUGGAUACAAAGCAGAGGGAAAAGGCUGGUGGGGAACAAGCAGAUGUCUAGAUGGUUUAUGGYUCCGUAUCCCAGUCUGUAUUGAAAGUCCUCCAACCUGCAGCCAGCCUCCUAGGAGCCCCAAUGCCUUCAUCAUUAAUCAGGAUUUUCAGGAGGUAUUUACUCUAGACUCAGAGGUGGAGUAUCAGUGUAAAGAUGGAUWCACAACAAAGGAAGGAGCCACCAAGMAAUCUGUCUUUUGUAGAGCUGGAGUUUGGACAGACGUCCCAACAUGUGGUGGGUGGAGAGCAUUCAGAAMUAUGCAGAACCUGACAAGAAUAUUUACAACCCAAACUUUUUAACAUUUGGUCCAGUUACAAUCACAAAAUACAAUGUGUUUUUGUUUGCUAGGACACAAUGUCUUUAAACCUUAUKGUGAAAAAAAAAAGAAUCUAAAAAGUGCGUUUGUAUUCAACCUUCUUUACGCCAGUUUCCAUCUGAAUGGUGACUGGAGUCUACCUGUGUGUCAGUUAAUGUCAGUAUACACUCAGCAGUUUUAUGAAGGCAUUGGASGUUCGUUAGAAAACACARUGAACAAACAACAUCAUGAGGACCAAAGARCAUAGCAGACAGGACAUGGAGAAAGUUGUGGAAUAAUUUAAAACGGUUGUGCAACUUUGACAAAAGUCAAAAUCAUGAAGUUCAGGAAUGUCACAAGUUAUAUUAUUGAUAUAUAUAAGUAGUAGUGACAGUAGUUUCUAACAGGAGCAACGUCAUUUGAAAUACAAGUGUCAGAGCUAUUACAAGUUAGUGGGUCCUGAAACAGUGGUGUGUCACAGAGGUGGCACAUGGUCCGAACUCCCCAAAUGCAAAGAGGACUUCUGUCUUCUGAACACUGCAGAGAAUCCUGAUCUAAUAAAUACUGGCAAUACAUUUAUCAGAAAUGGGAAAACGGAGUACCCAAAAUGUGUUGAUAGAUGGACGUUUAAUCAUUACGUUGUGGCUCGGUGCAUCGAAGGAAGACUCCGUGUAUCUGAAUGCUGCUCCUGGGCCAAGAUACAAUUAAAUGCAUGCUGAGGCACCACUGGGAAAAUAUCUGACUUCCCUGUGCUGAGCUGAUGGACUGAGAACAAAUGGAAACAUGAACCCAUUUGAAACAACUUGAGACUGAAUGUGUUGCUAACAACCAGGCUGGAUAUUUUCAUUCUGCUCUACCACAGUGUAGCACAUUCUGUAUUUAGAUUGUUCCAGUAGCAUUGCUAUAGUUAUGCGUUUCAUACAGAGAAUUGUAAAAGCUCUGUCUGAGUUGGUCUCUGUGGUCUGCAACAGCUACUUAAUAAAACAUUUCGACUUUAA